GACGAACGCUGGCGGCGUGCUUAACACAUGCAAGUCGAACGGAAAGGCCCUGCUUUUGUGGGGUGCUCGAGUGGCGAACGGGUGAGUAACACGUGAGUAACCUGCCCUUGACUUUGGGAUAACUUCAGGAAACUGGGGCUAAUACCGGAUAGGAGCUCCUGCUGCAUGGUGGGGGUUGGAAAGUUUCGGCGGUUGGGGAUGGACUCGCGGCUUAUCAGCUUGUUGGUGGGGUAGUGGCUUACCAAGGCUUUGACGGGUAGCCGGCCUGAGAGGGUGACCGGCCACAUUGGGACUGAGAUACGGCCCAGACUCCUACGGGAGGCAGCAGUGGGGAAUAUUGCACAAUGGGCGGAAGCCUGAUGCAGCAACGCCGCGUGCGGGAUGACGGCAUUCGGGUUGUAAACCGCUUUCGCCUGUGACGAAGCGUGAGUGACGGUAAUGGGUAAAGAAGCACCGGCUAACUACGUG
Molecule: ribosomal RNA, 468 nt
Filed under: uncultured bacterium
Lineage: Bacteria
Description: partial 16S ribosomal RNA
Rfam family: Bacterial small subunit ribosomal RNA
Source: RNAcentral